UACGUAGGGGGCGAGCGUUGUCCGGAUUUAUUGGGCGUAAAGAGCGUGUAGGCGGUUCGGUAAGUCUGUCGUGAAAUCCUGAGGCUCAACCUUGGACGUGCGAUGGAUACUGCCGGGCUAGAGGAUGGUAGAGGCGAGUGGAAUUCUCGGUGUAGCGGUGAAAUGCGCAGAUAUCGGGAGGAACACCGGUGGCGAAGGCGGCGACCUGGGUCGAGACUGACGCUGAGGCGCGAAAGCGUGGGGAGCAAACAGG
This 253-nucleotide ribosomal RNA is filed under the name uncultured bacterium. Its description in RNAcentral is "partial 16S ribosomal RNA". It matches the Rfam family "Bacterial small subunit ribosomal RNA", at positions 524 to 776 of the family's 1533-position model. The record is from RNAcentral.